GACCUCUGUUCAGGUGAG
Molecule: ribosomal RNA, 18 nt
Filed under: Frankliniella occidentalis (western flower thrips)
Lineage: Eukaryota; Metazoa; Arthropoda; Insecta; Thysanoptera; Thripidae
Description: partial 28S ribosomal RNA
Source: RNAcentral